This 486-nucleotide long non-coding RNA is filed under the name Lathyrus oleraceus (garden pea). RNAcentral describes it as "Pisum sativum (pea) long non-coding RNA (PSAT_LNC016593)". Lineage: Eukaryota; Viridiplantae; Streptophyta; Magnoliopsida; Fabales; Fabaceae. The record is from RNAcentral.
UUUUUUAUCUGUUGUUGUAAUCUCUUCCUAUGUCUUAUGUUGUUCAUGUGUGAAAACUUUAUGUUGUAACCAAAAGUUGAUAUGUUAUAAAUAACAAGGUUACAAAAUCUUACCAUAUUAUAAAUAACUUAAAGAAAACAAAUAAAUGUUCAUGUAGAACUUGCUCCAACAUUAGGACACUUUGUUCGAUUGUGUCCGAGCUAACAACAUAAACCACAUAAUCUUACCAUUUUACUUGUCGUGUCCAUUUGUAUUCUAAUUCACAUUAUGUUAGGGCGAUCCUUUUUCUUUCAUCGCAUGUUUUCGUCGUAUCAAAUUAUGUUCCCUUGAUAUGCAGGCCAAUAAUCUUCCAAUGCUACGAUCAGGAAGUUAUUGUUGUACAUAUUGAAAAUAUUUACGACUUUGUAAACAUCAGAGAGAUGCAUGGAAGCGUCUUGGAGAGCAUAUGAAUAUGCCACAAUGACAUGGGAGCAAGGCAUACGAAAG